GCUAUGAGUUAAGUAAAAAGGUCGAUGAACAAGGCAUCAGAUAGCCCCUAGAGUUCCCUCAAACACUUCAUUGGAGAUUAUUAUGGGCAUUAUCUUAAUUAUGCCUCUCUCUCUCUACUUUCUACUGAAGUGUUUGGGGGGACCCUUGGAGUCAUUUGAUCGAUAUGUAGCCUACCACAUGUGGAUAAGCUAUAGCUAGCUGCAAUAUUAAACGAGCUAGAUUACUUGUGGAAGGUCAUUACUUUAGCUCUGUUGAUUUUUUUUAUGGGAGUGGAAAAGUGGUUUAGUAUGUUAAACAAAAAUUAAAAGGAUCUCAUAAUUGAGUGUUGUUCA
Long non-coding RNA from Prunus persica (peach), 333 nucleotides. RefSeq lists it as uncharacterized. The record is from RefSeq and is a predicted model, not a curated record. The transcript is spliced from 2 exons. Lineage: Eukaryota; Viridiplantae; Streptophyta; Magnoliopsida; Rosales; Rosaceae.